CCUACGGGAGGCAGCAGUGAGGAAUAUUGGUCAAUGGGCGCGAGCCUGAACCAGCCAAGUAGCGUGAAGGAUGACUGCCCUACGGGUUGUAAACUUCUUUUAUAAAGGAAUAAAGUGAGGCACGUGUGCCUUUUUGUAUGUACUUUAUGAAUAAGGAUCGGCUAACUCCGUGCCAGCAGCCGCGGUAAUACGGAGGAUCCGAGCGUUAUCCGGAUUUAUUGGGUUUAAAGGGAGCGUAGGUGGGCUGUUAAGUCAGUUGUGAAAGUUUGCGGCUCAACCGGGGAAUUGCAAUUGAUACUGGCAGCCUUGAGUACAGUUGAGGUAGGCGGAAUUCGUGGUGUAGCGGUGAAAUGCUUAGAUAUCACGAAGAACUCCGAUUGCGAAGGCAGCUUACUAAACUGCGACUGACAUUGAGGCUCGAAAGUGUGGGUAUCAAACAGGAUUAGAUACCCUAGUAGUC
Molecule: ribosomal RNA, 460 nt
Filed under: uncultured bacterium
Lineage: Bacteria
Description: partial 16S ribosomal RNA
Rfam family: Bacterial small subunit ribosomal RNA
Source: RNAcentral